Molecule: long non-coding RNA, 1098 nt
Filed under: Parus major (Great Tit)
Lineage: Eukaryota; Metazoa; Chordata; Aves; Passeriformes; Paridae
Description: lncRNA (ENSPMJG00000007568.1)
Source: RNAcentral
AUGGAUUUGGGUCUCUCCGCGCCGCUUCCCAAGGAGGAGGAGCCGGAGCCGCCGGGGCCGCGCAGAGCAGCGCCAGGAGGAGGCGGAUUUGGGAGCGCAUCCUGGAAAAAAAAAACCUGGAAUUCCCAGCCCGGAGGUUUUUCAGGGAAAAAUUCCGGCCGGAGAGCGGGGAAUCGGAUUCCCGAGGGUUUCCUGGGAUUUCCACGGAUGAGGAAUUCCUGGGAGCUCCAAAGGAAAAUCGGGAAGCGCUUCCAGCCUGAUCCAGGAUCCCAAAUUCCUUCCUUUUCCCGGGAUUUUUCCCCGGGAGAUUCCCAUGGGAAUCCGGCUGGGAAAAGGCUGAUCCCAACCCCCCAUUCCCACUGGGAAUUCCCAGAUCUUUCCCCCUUUCCAAGUGCCAAAAAUCCAGGAAAAAUGCUGGGAUUUGGCCAUCCCGGCAUUCCCGGUUUCCCCAGUCCCAGAUUUCCUGGGAAUUUCAAGGUGUCCAUGGAAAACUUUGGGAUCUCAGGGAUGGGGAUCAUUCCCACUGGGAGCGGCUCCAGCCCCAAAUCCCAAUUUUCCACCCUGGAGGUGGCAGAAGCAAAGAGGAAAAAUCCUGGAAUUUUUACAGAGAAAAUCCCACUUUUCCCACUUUUCCUGGGGAGGUGGGAGUGGCAAUUCCCGGGAAAUCGAGCCAGGAGGGGCGGCAGCGGGGUGAUCCCAAAUCCCAUCCUCAAAUCCCAAAUCCUGACCCUAAAUCCCAAAUCCCAUCCCCAAAUCCCAAAUCCCAAAUCCCAAAUCCUUGGCCCCGAAUCCCAAAUCCCAGCCCCAAAUCCCAAAUCCCAAAUCCCUGGCCCCGAAUCCCAAAUCCCAGCCCCAAAUCCCAAAUCCCAUCCCCAAAUCCCUGUUCCCAAAUCCCUUCCUGGUCCCAAAUUCCAAAUCCCUGUUCCCAAAUCCUUGUCCCCAAAUGUUCCGUUCUCCAAAUCCCAUUCCCAAAUCCCUGGCCCCAAUCCCAUCCUGUCCCUGGGUCUGUCCCCAAAUCCUCCUGUCCCCAAAUCGGGGACAAUUCCCAGUGACAAUUCCCAGAUGACAAUUCCCAGUGACAAUUCCCAGGUGACAAUU